Cynara cardunculus var. scolymus (artichoke) is the source of this 1505-nucleotide long non-coding RNA. RefSeq lists it as uncharacterized. The transcript is spliced from 2 exons. The record is from RefSeq and is a predicted model, not a curated record. NCBI's taxonomy places the organism in Eukaryota, Viridiplantae, Streptophyta, Magnoliopsida, Asterales, Asteraceae.
AAUCGCCAAUGAUUUUCAUCCCUAUCCUCCGACCACUCCAAGAAACCCUAAUGAGAAUUCACACGCUCCAUCCUUCUCUGUGCCAAUCUUCUUCGAUCAUUGCAACUUGUUAUUGGGUUAGAUCGGUUGGCGAUCUAGAUUUUCGAUGCACUUUUUGCUAUGAUUCUCGAAGGAUAGGGAUUACAUAAACGAAGGCGAGAUAAUCGAUGCACGCAUUUGAUUUUUCUCCUUGAUUUACCAAUCAUGGAUGGAUCGUAUUCAGUCAGAGGCGGAUUUACCGAUUCACGCAUCAGAUCUACGAUUCUUGGCUUCUUGAGCGAGACAAAUGGUAAAGUUGUCUUUCUGAUUUGUUCUGUUGAUGCAAUUUUUGCUGUUAUAAUUCGUCGAUCCAUUAGGAUUGUUAUGGUAUAUAAGUUUUUCUUAUCAGAUCCGUUGGUGAGUCGGUUAAUUAUUAACCUGUUUAAGCAUCUGCUAUAUUAAUAUUAUUGGUCAUCUUAGGUAAUGAUUUUCUUUUCCAGUACUAGCCAUGUUGGCAGGAAUGGCAGGAUUCGUAACACCAUUAUUAGCAGAAUUUUAUUUGGCAUAACGUUCGACUGCUGAAGGUUGUUGUCAUGCUAUGCUACUCAACAGGACCUAUCUUUGUAGGGCUCGGGGGUCUGUUUCCUUUGAUGAGGUUCGUGUGUUGUUGAUGGAUGUUGAUGUCAGAGAUGAAAUCGAUUUGUUGUGGAAGCUUGGUGAUAUGAUCUAGGAUGAAAAUUUGAAGUUUGAAGUUUGCUACCAGGUUUGUACUUGGAUGUAAGGCUACCCUGACGGGUCUCGUAUAUAUGUGUUAAUUGGCCUUUGCCAUGAUGGGUACGCUCGCAUGGCAGGUCACCAGAUCCUAAUAAAAAAGAAAUAUUUUUGUUUUUGGGGGGAGUUCGCACGGUGGUUUGCCGGGUUCUCCCCCUGGUGUUGCGUGCUCGUGUGUGUGUGUGUGUGGUUGUCAUAUCGUGUGUUGGUCGGUUUAUUUUUAUCGUUGUUCAAAGUUGCUUACAAAUCGUGGGAACUGCUUCAACAUCCAGACCGCAUAUGCAAGGAAUAAGUAACCUGACGGCAAAAGACAUUGAAGAGUUCAGUUCCAUUACAUCAUCAUUGAAGAAUUCAGUUCCAUUACAUCAUCAUUGAAGAAUUCAGUUCCAUUACGAACCAUUGAAGAAUUCAAUUGAUUAACCAAAUAGCUUAUCGAUAUGAUUUGGCUUCAUUAUUUUUUUAUGUCCCAUUAUUUUCCAAGCAGAUUUAAAGUAUGCAAUGUAAAGGCUACAAUCAUGGUAUCUUUUGCUAAUUCGCCUGAAGAUCAGGCAUGCCCACCGAUAUCCUACCUGGUGCAACAAUUUGAGAAGGGUUCCAAAUUUGUGUUUGAAAAACGUAACGCAAACUAUUUUCGAGGUAGAAUCUGCAAGUUAUUUGUAAUAGGAAACCUAAUUUCAUAGCAUAUACAAAGCAUGUGAAAUUGCAAUUUGCUUGAA